AGGGGAGCUGCUUCAGUCAGACGUCACUCGCCAGCUACAAGGGCAGCAGGAGCAGCAGCAUUAUUUCAGUCGCUUUGUUGCAGGGUAGGCAAUGAAAAGGCACAUCCUCAGUAUCAGCAGAGUGAAAAUCCUGUCCACAGAAGUAAUCUUCAAGCCACUCAGUAGGUCGAAGGGUAGCCAGUCGCAUCUCAUUUGAGGCGUUUUUCAGAGAGACCCACUUCAACACCAGCACAAGGAGGGGAAGAACAACAGUGAAACUUCAUCUGCAGCUGCAAUUAAGUCUGUCCAUACUUUCUCUGCACAUCUUUUCUGGAAGAGACUGAGGAUUUUGUGAAGAAAAUGAGUGGUUUCAGAAGAGGUGAGGGCAGGAGUCUCAUCAAGGCAGUAGUCUUACCCUUCCCACGUGGAGCUUGCCUUGCUGCAGCUCUGCCUUGAGGACCCUACUACCCAGCACAGUUGCCAGUCAGGGGGAGGAAACCCAUUCCAACCGGAACUGUGAGGGGAGGAUACCUUGACAAGGAAAUGCUAUGCUUGAAUCGGAAGAUCUCACUGCAUAUCUGCAGCUCUGCCUGAAUAUCGAUGCUCCCCAUUCAUCCCCAGAACCCUCUGGCUUUCCUGCCUUGCAAGCUGUGAUUUGAUGUCAGAAAUCAGCAUUCUUCGAAUGUUUUGACAGCCUCGUGACUUUAGAGUAUAAUUCAAUUAGCCGUAAAUACAUUUAUCUGUCAUAUUCAGAGAAAGCCCCCCUCUCCAGAUUUUGCUAUGAUUUGUG
RNAcentral lists this long non-coding RNA (769 nucleotides) under Gallus gallus (chicken). The record is from RNAcentral. Lineage: Eukaryota; Metazoa; Chordata; Aves; Galliformes; Phasianidae.